Molecule: ribosomal RNA, 657 nt
Filed under: Pantoea sp. DJM1D5
Lineage: Bacteria; Pseudomonadati; Pseudomonadota; Gammaproteobacteria; Enterobacterales; Erwiniaceae
Also listed under: 2 other names
Description: bacterial SSU rRNA
Rfam family: Bacterial small subunit ribosomal RNA
Source: RNAcentral
CUUGAGGAGUGGCUUCCGGAGCUAACGCGUUAAGUCGACCGCCUGGGGAGUACGGCCGCAAGGUUAAAACUCAAAUGAAUUGACGGGGGCCCGCACAAGCGGUGGAGCAUGUGGUUUAAUUCGAUGCAACGCGAAGAACCUUACCUACUCUUGACAUCCACGGAAUUCGGCAGAGAUGCCUUAGUGCCUUCGGGAACCGUGAGACAGGUGCUGCAUGGCUGUCGUCAGCUCGUGUUGUGAAAUGUUGGGUUAAGUCCCGCAACGAGCGCAACCCUUAUCCUUUGUUGCCAGCGAGUCAUGUCGGGAACUCAAAGGAGACUGCCGGUGAUAAACCGGAGGAAGGUGGGGAUGACGUCAAGUCAUCAUGGCCCUUACGAGUAGGGCUACACACGUGCUACAAUGGCGCAUACAAAGAGAAGCGACCUCGCGAGAGCAAGCGGACCUCACAAAGUGCGUCGUAGUCCGGAUCGGAGUCUGCAACUCGACUCCGUGAAGUCGGAAUCGCUAGUAAUCGUGGAUCAGAAUGCCACGGUGAAUACGUUCCCGGGCCUUGUACACACCGCCCGUCACACCAUGGGAGUGGGUUGCAAAAGAAGUAGGUAGCUUAACCUUCGGGAGGGCGCUUACCACUUUGUGAUUCAUGACUGGGGUGAAGUC